Molecule: ribosomal RNA, 569 nt
Filed under: uncultured bacterium
Lineage: Bacteria
Description: partial 16S ribosomal RNA
Rfam family: Bacterial small subunit ribosomal RNA
Source: RNAcentral
UGGGGAAUAUUGGACAAUGGGCGGAAGCCUGAUCCAGCAACGCCGCGUGAGGGAUGACGGCCUUCGGGUUGUAAACCUCUUUCAGUACCGACGAAGCGAAAGUGACGGUAGGUACAGAAGAAGGACCGGCCAACUACGUGCCAGCAGCCGCGGUAAUACGUAGGGUCCGAGCGUUGUCCGGAAUUAUUGGGCGUAAAGGGCUCGUAGGCGGUUUGUCGCGUCGGGAGUGAAAACAGCGGGCUUAACUCGUUGCUUGCUUUCGAUACGGGCAGACUAGAGGUAUGCAGGGGAGAAUGGAAUUCCUGGUGUAGCGGUGAAAUGCGCAGAUAUCAGGAGGAACACCGGUGGCGAAGGCGGUUCUCUGGGCAUUACCUGACGCUGAGGAGCGAAAGUGUGGGGAGCGAACAGGAUUAGAUACCCUGGUAGUCCACACCGUAAACGUUGGGNGCUAGGUNUGGGGUCCUUUCCACGGAUUCCGUGCCGCAGCAAACGCAUUAAGUGCCCCGCCUGGGGAGUACGGCCGCAAGGCUAAAACUCAAAGGAAUUGACGGGGUCAUAGCUGUUUCCUG